RNAcentral lists this ribosomal RNA (825 nucleotides) under Bacillus sp. U0908. Its description in RNAcentral is "bacterial SSU rRNA". It matches the Rfam family "Bacterial small subunit ribosomal RNA", at positions 52 to 860 of the family's 1533-position model. The record is from RNAcentral. Lineage: Bacteria; Bacillati; Bacillota; Bacilli; Caryophanales; Bacillaceae.
UACAUGCAGUCGAGCGGACAGAAGGGAGCUUGCUCCCGGAUGUUAGCGGCGGACGGGUGAGUAACACGUGGGUAACCUGCCUGUAAGACUGGGAUAACUCCGGGAAACCGGAGCUAAUACCGGAUAGUUCCUUGAACCGCAUGGUUCAAGGAUGAAAGACGGUUUCGGCUGUCACUUACAGAUGGACCCGCGGCGCAUUAGCUAGUUGGUGAGGUAACGGCUCACCAAGGCGACGAUGCGUAGCCGACCUGAGAGGGUGAUCGGCCACACUGGGACUGAGACACGGCCCAGACUCCUACGGGAGGCAGCAGUAGGGAAUCUUCCGCAAUGGACGAAAGUCUGACGGAGCAACGCCGCGUGAGUGAUGAAGGUUUUCGGAUCGUAAAGCUCUGUUGUUAGGGAAGAACAAGUGCAAGAGUAACUGCUUGCACCUUGACGGUACCUAACCAGAAAGCCACGGCUAACUACGUGCCAGCAGCCGCGGUAAUACGUAGGUGGCAAGCGUUGUCCGGAAUUAUUGGGCGUAAAGGGCUCGCAGGCGGUUUCUUAAGUCUGAUGUGAAAGCCCCCGGCUCAACCGGGGAGGGUCAUUGGAAACUGGGAAACUUGAGUGCAGAAGAGGAGAGUGGAAUUCCACGUGUAGCGGUGAAAUGCGUAGAGAUGUGGAGGAACACCAGUGGCGAAGGCGACUCUCUGGUCUGUAACUGACGCUGAGGAGCGAAAGCGUGGGGAGCGAACAGGAUUAGAUACCCUGGUAGUCCACGCCGUAAACGAUGAGUGCUAAGUGUUAGGGGGUUUCCGCCCCUUAGUGCUGCAGCUAACGCAU